AUCCUGUUGACGAGUCUCAGACCGGACGAAACGCGCGUCCUGGAU
Molecule: non-coding RNA, 45 nt
Filed under: Schistosoma mansoni
Lineage: Eukaryota; Metazoa; Platyhelminthes; Trematoda; Strigeidida; Schistosomatidae
Source: RNAcentral